GACGUAGGGGGCAAGCGUUGUUCGGAAUUACUGGGCGUAAAGGGCGUACAGGCGGCCAUGUAAGUCGAGUGUGAAACUCUUGGGCUUAACCCGAGACAUGCACCUGAUACUGUAUGGCUUGAGAUCAGGAGAGGAGAGUGGAAUAUGUAGUGUAGCGGUGAAAUGCGUAGAUAUUACAUAGAACACCGGUGGCGAAGGCGGCUCUCUGGCCUGAUUCUGACGCUGACGCGCGAAAGCUAGGGUAGCGAACGGGAUUAGAUACCCCGGUAGUCCUAGCCGUAAACGAUGGGUACUAAGUGUAGGAGGUAAUUGACCCCUUCUGUGCUGUAGCUAACGCAUUAAGUACCCCGCCUGGGGACUACGGUCGCAAGACUAAAACUCAAUGUAAUUGACGGGGGCCCGCACAAGCGGUGGAGCAUGUCGCUCAAUUCGAAGCAACGCGAAGAACCUUAUCCAGUGGCUUGACAUCCUUUGACAACCGUGGAAACACGGCGUUCUCUUAUGAGACAAAGUGACAGGUGCUGCAUGGCAGUCGUCAGCUCGUGUCGUGAGAUGUUGGGUUAAGUCCCGCAACGAGCGCAACCCUUGUCUUUAGUUGCCAGCGCGUAAUGGCGGGGACUCUAGAGAAACUGCCGGCGAUAAGCCGGAGGAAGGUGGGGAUGACGUCAUGUCCUCAUGGCCCUUAUGCCCUGGGCUGCACACGUGCUACAAUGGUCGGUACAACGGGUCGUGAAACCGUGAGGUGGAACCAAUCCCUAAAAACCGAUCCCAGUUGGGAUUGUAGUCUGCAACUCGACUACAUGAACCUGGAAUCGCUAGUAAUCGCGAAUCAGCAGGUCGCGGUGAAUACGUUCCCGGGCCU
RNAcentral lists this ribosomal RNA (862 nucleotides) under uncultured bacterium. RNAcentral describes it as "SSU rRNA". It matches the Rfam family "Bacterial small subunit ribosomal RNA", at positions 524 to 1381 of the family's 1533-position model. The record is from RNAcentral.